UGGCAAGAUACUGGCGAAGCUGAAUGGUCGAGGUGAAAAUCAGCUUCGGCAACUCUUGCUAUGU
Molecule: microRNA precursor, 64 nt
Filed under: Mesocestoides corti
Lineage: Eukaryota; Metazoa; Platyhelminthes; Cestoda; Cyclophyllidea; Mesocestoididae
Description: microRNA mco-mir-31 precursor
Gene: mco-mir-31
Source: miRBase by way of RNAcentral